CCCCCUCCUAUAGCCCGGUCCCAGGUCGUCGGCCCCUCCUCCUAUAGCCCGGUCCCAGGUCGUCGGCCCCUCCUCCUAUAGCCCGGUCCCAGGUCGUCGGCCCCUCCUCCUAUAGCCCGGUCCCAGGUCGUCGGCCCCUCCUCCUAUAGCCCGGUCCCAGGUCGUCGGCCCCUCCUCCUAUAGCCCGGUCCCAGGUCGUCGGCCCCUCCUCCUAUAGCCCGGUCCCAGGUCGUCGGCCCCUCCUCCUAUAGCCCGGUCCCAGGUCGUCGGCCCCUCCUCCUAUAGCCCGGUCCCAGGUCGUCGGCCCCUCCUCCUAUAGCCCGGUCCCAGGUCGUCGGCCCCUCCUCCUAUAGCCCGGUCCCAGGUCGUCGGCCCCUCCUCCUAUAGCCCGGUCCCAGGUCGUCGGCCCCUCCUCCUAUAGCCCGGUCCCAGGUCGUCGGCCCCUCCUCCUAUAGCCCGGUCCCAGGUCGUCUCCCCCUCCUCCUAUAGCCCGGUCCCAGGUCGUCGGCCCCUC
This is a long non-coding RNA of Oncorhynchus tshawytscha (Chinook salmon), 514 nucleotides long. RefSeq lists it as uncharacterized. The transcript has 4 exons. NCBI's taxonomy places the organism in Eukaryota, Metazoa, Chordata, Actinopteri, Salmoniformes, Salmonidae. The record is from RefSeq and is a predicted model, not a curated record.